Schizosaccharomyces pombe (fission yeast) is the source of this 338-nucleotide non-coding RNA. The record is from the annotation of a GenBank genome assembly. Lineage: Eukaryota; Fungi; Ascomycota; Schizosaccharomycetes; Schizosaccharomycetales; Schizosaccharomycetaceae.
AGUCACGGUAUCCCUCGGUCCGGACAGAAUCGUUUAGCAUAAGGAAAUGAAUAUCAUUUCCAGCGUAAGACUCGAAAUAAUAAGAAUCGUUAUCUGCUUUCUUUGGGGUAACUGAUAGCUGAUCUGUAGUCUGACUAGUCAAUUCAUUCAUUUUAUCUUUUCGAAUUUCUUCAAGCUGAGAGAUAAGAAGUUGAUUUUGUAACUUUAAUUUCUUUAUUUCUGCAUCUUUAGAAACAUCUGCUGGAUUCUCUACUUCAAUUUCGAGAGUAUUGUCGUCCUCAAAAUCUGAAUCGAGUUCAUCGCCAAGCGAGAAGAGUACACUGUCGUCAGGGAGUACA